ACAGUUUCAGUUGCAGUGGUCUCGGUGGUGAGGGAGGGCGCAGGGAUGGAGCCGUCAACAUAGCCCCAAAGGCCUGCACCAUUGAGGUAUGAACGAAUUUGACGAGUCCAUUUAAGAUAAUUGGUUUCAGAUAAUUUGAUGAAUUGGGAUGUGUUUUGAGAAGAGUUUGUGGGGUUGGCAGCCAUUGGAGAACGAGAGAAAAGGAGAGAAGAGAAAGGCUGGAAGAAGACACGGAAAAAAGGAAGGAAAAGGUAAGGACCUAGACCUAGGCUGAUACCAUGUAAAAGAAUGAAUUUCUGCUUAAUUUUAUUUUGUGUGACUGAUACAUAUAUAGAGUACGACUAUUGGG
Molecule: long non-coding RNA, 349 nt
Filed under: Fragaria vesca (wild strawberry)
Lineage: Eukaryota; Viridiplantae; Streptophyta; Magnoliopsida; Rosales; Rosaceae
Description: long non-coding RNA (FVES_LNC003151)
Source: RNAcentral